GUCACUGUUCAGAGCCUGACAGGCCAAAAGAGAUGGUAAAAUGGAAAGAUGUUUUGACUGGUCUCUGGAAAGGCCCGGAUCCUAUAUUAAUAAGAUCCAGGGGAGCUGUUUGUGUUUUCCCACAGGAAGAAGACAACCCAUUCUGGCUGCCGGAACGACUGACGUGAAGAAUUCUGACACCUGAAGAUGACUCCCGGAUGGAUCCCUUGGAAACUACCUCUAGUCCUCUUGCUACCUCUGUGGAUUUGGGUUCCUAGUAUAUUUGGAGAAUAUAGAUGGGCAAUUCUGUCUGCUUUCCCUAAGCCCAUGCCUGUUCGUCAUAAUACAGCUGUUUUUCCCAAGUUUUUUACGACCAAUAAAACUUUAGGCCUACCAUACCUACCAUUUGACCUUAUCUGGGCACCACUGGGAGAAAAACGCUCUAUAAGGGAACGAGGUUCUCUCUGUUUCCAAAUUUAUGAAUUGGGAGAUUGUAUCAGACUCACCUGCCGAGCUUUGGGAAUGUUUAUUAAGUAUGGAGGAGGCUUGGUGAAAAUAACCCAAGACACUUCCAACAGAGAUAUAACCUUUACAAAUCAGACCUUCUGGCAGGAGGCAAUUUGGGUUAAUGGUACAUUUCUACCACCUAACUUUUCAGACAAAGAAUGCCCCAAUCAACCAAAAAUGGCUCCUCAUUGUAGCUUGGAAGAUGAAGGGCUGAUCCUGCCUUGGUCUGAUUGUCAAUCCUCCGUCACUCGUUGGGCAGAUCAGAGUAAAACCUUUUCCUUUUCUCCCAACAUGAUGGAUGACCCAGAGGAGAAAUUUGUUAUGAAAAAGGGACUUUUCGUACAGGACUUUAGAAUGCAUCCUUUUCACAAAUGGGUACUUUGUGGGAUUAAUGGUAGCUGUACAGAUCUUAAUCCCUUGGUUUUCCUCCAAGGAGGAGCUGCUGAAAAAGCGAUUUUUAAUGGUAUUUCAAAAUUUGCUCAGUUUCAUCAAGUUCUGUUACCUGAUAGAACCAUUUAUCAAAAUUCUACUACUGAAAUCACUGGAUUUAAUAAGACCCUGAUAAAGCAGACUAAUUAUUCACCUACUCCAGUUUGUGUGUACACUCCUUUCUUGUUUAUUCUUUCUAAAGGUUUCUUUGAAUCCUGUACUAAUGAAACCUGCUGGAU
RNAcentral lists this long non-coding RNA (1154 nucleotides) under Mus spicilegus (steppe mouse). RNAcentral's name for it is "lncRNA (ENSMSIG00000026157.1)". The record is from RNAcentral. Lineage: Eukaryota; Metazoa; Chordata; Mammalia; Rodentia; Muridae.